Molecule: ribosomal RNA, 259 nt
Filed under: uncultured bacterium
Lineage: Bacteria
Description: partial 16S ribosomal RNA
Rfam family: Bacterial small subunit ribosomal RNA
Source: RNAcentral
ACGGCGGACGGGUGAGUAACGCGUAGGCAACCUGCCCUUUGCAGAGGGAUAGCCUCGGGAAACCGGGAUUAAAACCUCAUGAAGCUGAGAGUCCGCAUGGGGAUUCAGCCAAAGAUUUAUCGGCAAAGGAUGGGCCUGCGUCUGAUUAGUUAGUUGGUGGGGUAACGGCCUACCAAGGCGACGAUCAGUAGCCGACCUGAGAGGGUGAUCGGCCACAUUGGAACUGAGACACGGUCCAAACUCCUACGGGAGGCAGCAG